GGGACUUUAGCUCAUCAGUAGAGCGCUGCAUUGACAUUGCAGAGGUAGUAAGGGCAGCACUUACAAGUCCCACCA
RNAcentral lists this transfer RNA (75 nucleotides) under Minisyncoccota bacterium. RNAcentral's name for it is "tRNA-Val". It matches the Rfam family "tRNA". From Rfam's summary of the family: Transfer RNA (tRNA) molecules are approximately 80 nucleotides in length. Their secondary structure includes four short double-helical elements and three loops (D, anti-codon, and T loops). The record is from RNAcentral. Lineage: Bacteria; Bacillati; Minisyncoccota.